UCAAAAUAUUUGUUAUUUUUUUAUUAUAUCAAAGAUAUUAAACUUCAUUAGAUAAGAGUGUUACAACCUGAGAUACAUCAAAUCCAUAGGCUAUACAUAAAAAAAAAUAAAGCAAGGUCUUUAAGUCCAAGAAAGAAUAAGCUAAAGAGAUCCAACCCUGAAGACCAAACUCGAAAAAGACCCAAAACAUGACUUAAAAAAUUCUUCAGGAUGCACCGAUGUAUCGCUACUCUCUCUGUCAUUUUCGACUGCCAUUUCUGAUAACCAAUUGGUUCGGAGGAGACGUCUUUCUCAAUAAUAGCCGAAAAAGCUUAUGUACAAAUUGAAGAUCAGAGAGUAAAGCCAACCUCAGUAUCAAACCCACAGAUCCCUAAAACGAAGAGGAGAUAAAACCGGUGUAAAAAUCACGUACAAGCUCCGAAUAGUGUAGAAACGAUGGAAAACCAACAACUAACAGAAAGGCAAGAUGGAGCUUCCUCUAAAGCUCCUCGUCACCACUAUUUAGGCCGAUGAAGCUACCUCUAGAAAGAUCCAGACCAGCAAUAGAAAGGAGAUGUUUUUCUACAUUGAUGGCAAGUUAGUUCCGCCUUCUUAUCGAUAGCAUGCAAGCAAGAAAAGAGCAAGUUAGAGAGACUAUCUCCUAAAAGAAAACAAAAGGAAAAAAAUAAAUGAAACAAACAACAAGGCAGAACCAAAGUUUCACUCCCUCAUCAUAGAAGCAUCGCUUGCCAAAAACAAAUACAAACAAAAAUAUAUACAACCUCUUCUAGACAGAGGAGGAAGAGAAAUCCACAUUCGGAAAGUGAAGGAGAGUACCCCUUCUCGGCGGAGUAGGGGCGGCCACGGACUCCAGCAUGAAAAGAGACAUAUGCCUCAAGGAACCCUCACAACUCUCAUGGAGAAAACUCCCUCUAGCUCUAAGCGAACUCUUUUUUGGUGUAAGAUAAUUUCUUACGGCCAAAACAUUCGGUCUAGACCUUUUUUUGACUUUUUUUUUUCGACUUUACGAUUUGUUUUUUUUUUGCGAGCUCAAAGUGACAUUUAAUGGACAUUUUACCUAAAAAUUAACCCAUGAUAAAGGGGAGAUAAAACAAGUGCAGUUUUUAUUUGUCCAAUGGAGUGCGCUGUACGC
This 1132-nucleotide long non-coding RNA is filed under the name Manihot esculenta (cassava). Its description in RNAcentral is "long non-coding RNA (MESC_LNC008473)". Lineage: Eukaryota; Viridiplantae; Streptophyta; Magnoliopsida; Malpighiales; Euphorbiaceae. The record is from RNAcentral.